Molecule: non-coding RNA, 348 nt
Organism: Onthophagus taurus
Lineage: Eukaryota; Metazoa; Arthropoda; Insecta; Coleoptera; Scarabaeidae
Source: RefSeq, a predicted model, not a curated record
UAAUAACACAUUAUAUAAACAUUAAUGCAAAUAAGAGAUGAAGAAAGCGAUAAACACUUCCUAAUAAAUAUUAAGAAGAAAACACUUAAUUGUGAAAAAUUACUUACAUAAUAAUAAUAUGCCUUCAUUGAAAACCAACAAGGGACGAAGUACGAACGUCUGCUCUUCCACUUAAUCCCUAUUUCGAGAGAGUUAAAUACAAAUACCAAAUUACUAAUAAACCAAAAAAAGAAAAGCAGCAAUAACCAUAAUAAUAAUAACAAGAGCAAGGACAUUAGCACAAAUCAGUGAAAAGUUGAUGUUUAAAAUAUCUUUUAAAUAAAUUGAAAGAUCUAGUACUAGUGAUAA